Molecule: ribosomal RNA, 253 nt
Filed under: uncultured bacterium
Lineage: Bacteria
Description: partial 16S ribosomal RNA
Rfam family: Bacterial small subunit ribosomal RNA
Source: RNAcentral
UACGGAGGGUGCAAGCGUUAUCCGGAUUCACUGGGUUUAAAGGGUGCGUAGGAGGACAGGUAAGUCAGUGGUGAAAUCUCCAAGCUUAACUUGGAAACUGCCGUUGAUACUAUCUGCCUUGAAUACCGUGGAGGUGAGCGGAAUAUGUCAUGUAGCGGUGAAAUGCUUAGAUAUGACAUAGAACACCAAUUGCGAAGGCAGCUCACUACACGAAUAUUGACUCUGAGGCACGAAAGCGUGGGGAUCAAACAGG